GACGAACGUUGGCGGCGUGCUUAACACAUGCAAGUCGAACGGAAAGGCCCUGCUUUUGUGGGGUGCUCGAGUGGCGAACGGGUGAGUAACACGUGAGUAACCUGCCCUUGACUUUGGGAUAACUUCAGGAAACUGGGGCUAAUACCGGAUAGGAGCUCCUGCUGCAUGGUGGGGGUUGGAAAGUUUCGGCGGUUGGGGAUGGACUCGCGGCUUAUCAGCUUGUUGGUGGGGUAGUGGCUUACCAAGGCUUUGACGGGUAGCCGGCCUGAGAGGGUGACCGGCCACAUUGGGACUGAGAUACGGCCCAGACUCCUACGGGAGGCAGCAGUGGGGAAUAUUGCACAAUGGGCGGAAGCCUGAUGCAGCAACGCCGCGUGCGGGAUGACGGCCUUCGGGUUGUAAACCGCUUUCGCCUGUGACGAAGCGUGAGUGACGGUAAUGGGUAAAGAAGCACCGGCUAACUACGUGCCAGCAGCCGCGGUGAUACGUAGGGUGCGAGCGUUGUCCGGAUUUAUUGGGCGUAAAGGGCUCGUAGGUGGUUGAUCGCGUCGGAAGUGUAAUCUUGGGGCUUAACCCUGAGCGUGCUUUCGAUACGGGUUGACUUGAGGAAGGUAGGGGAGAAUGGAAUUCCUGGUGGAGCGGUGGAAUGCGCAGAUAUCAGGAGGAACACCAGUGGCGAAGGCGGUUCUCUGGGCCUUUCCUGACGCUGAGGAGCGAAAGCGUGGGGAGCGAACAGGCUUAGGUACCCUGGUAGUCCACGCUGUAAACGGUGGGUACUAGGUGUGGGGUCCAUUCCACGGGUUCCGUGCCGUAGCUAACGCUUUAAGUACCCCGCCUGGGGAGUACGGCCGCAAGGCUAAAACUCAAAGGAAUUGACGGGGCCCCGCACAAGCGGCGGAGCAUGCGGAUUAAUUCGAUGCAACGCGUAGAACCUUACCUGGGUUUGACAUGGAUCGGGAGUGCUCAGAGAUGGGUGUGCCUCUUUUGGGGUCGGUUCACAGGUGGUGCAUGCCUGUCGUCAGCUCGUGUCGUGAGAUGUUGGGUUAAGUCCCGCAACGAGCGCAACCCUUGUUCACUGUUGCCAGCACGUUAUGGUGGGGACUCAGUGGAGACCGCCGGGGUCAACUCGGAGGAAGGUGGGGAUGACGUCAAGUCAUCAUGCCCCUUAUGUCCAGGGCUUCACGCAUGCUACAAUGGCUGGUACAGAGAGUGGCGAGCCUGUGAGGGUGAGCGGAUCUCGGAAAGCCGGUCUCAGUUCGGAUUGGGGUCUGCAACUCGACCUCAUGAAGUCGGAGUCGCUAGUAAUCGCAAAUCAGCAACGCUGCGGUGAAUACGUUCCCGGGGCU
RNAcentral lists this ribosomal RNA (1346 nucleotides) under uncultured bacterium. RNAcentral's name for it is "partial 16S ribosomal RNA". It matches the Rfam family "Bacterial small subunit ribosomal RNA", at positions 28 to 1381 of the family's 1533-position model. The record is from RNAcentral.